CACGUAGGCGGAUUAGUCAGUCAGAGGUGAAAUCCCAGGGCUCAACCCUGGAACUGCCUUUGAUACUGCUAGUCUUGAGUUCGAGAGAGGUGAGUGGAAUUCCGAGUGUAGAGGUGAAAUUCGUAGAUAUUCGGAGGAACACCAGUGGCGAAGGCGGCUCACUGGCUCGAUACUGACGCUGAGGUGCGAAAGUGUGGGGAGCAAACA
RNAcentral lists this ribosomal RNA (207 nucleotides) under uncultured bacterium. RNAcentral's name for it is "partial 16S ribosomal RNA". It matches the Rfam family "Bacterial small subunit ribosomal RNA", at positions 568 to 774 of the family's 1533-position model. The record is from RNAcentral.